RNAcentral lists this ribosomal RNA (253 nucleotides) under uncultured bacterium. RNAcentral's name for it is "partial 16S ribosomal RNA". It matches the Rfam family "Bacterial small subunit ribosomal RNA", at positions 524 to 776 of the family's 1533-position model. The record is from RNAcentral.
UACAGAGGGUGCGAGCGUUCAUCGGAAUUACUGGGCGUAAAGCGUGCGUAGACGGUUAUCUAAGUCGGAUGUGAAAGCCCCGGGCUCAACCUGGGAAUUGCAUUCGAGACUGAACAGCUAGGGUACGGUAGAGGGAAGUGGAAUUUCCGGUGUAGCGGUGAAAUGCGUAGAUAUCGGAAGGAACAUCAGUGGCGAAAGCGACUUCCUGGACCAGUACCGACGUUCAGGCACGAAAGCGUGGGGAGCAAACAGG